Molecule: long non-coding RNA, 5162 nt
Filed under: Eucalyptus grandis
Lineage: Eukaryota; Viridiplantae; Streptophyta; Magnoliopsida; Myrtales; Myrtaceae
Description: long non-coding RNA (EGRA_LNC003512)
Source: RNAcentral
ACGGAGCUUGUGAUGCUCGGUGCCAGCUGUCGUCGCGGCCACACCUUUGCAAGAGGGCAUGCGGGACUUGUUGCGCCCGCUGCGACUGCGUGCCGCCGGGAACUUCCGGCAACUACGAUGCCUGCCCUUGCUAUGCCAACAUGACUACUCAUGGAGGCAGGCACAAAUGCCCCUAGAAGGGUUUCAUUUUCAACUUGCGAAAAAUGUCUCCAUUUUGUCGAUGUAUUGCCGAGUUUGUGGAGUCUUGCCUGAUGUAUCUCAAUAAUUGAGACUUCUGUCGUGUCCAAUCAAUAAAUAAACUUUCGGAGUAAUGAUUAUUAAUAUUGAUGGAUCAUGGGACUUGGCCAGUAAUCUUGUUAUUUUGGUCUUCCUCACUUGAGUACCAUGUUCGGCGGUUUUUAUUUUUUUUAAAUAGUAAAAUCUUACAUGUCAACAAAACCUUAUAAAGUAGGUUGGUCUAGGGUGUGCUUAAGCAUUGGAUCCAAUCAUGAAGUUAAGCACCAAAUCGCUCUAGCAUGGUGUCGAAUCGAGUCAUUAUUAUCUAAACUCUCUACUAAAUCAAAUUCUCAUGUUUUACAAUAUACAGGCAUCACAAUGCAAAAUUUUUUUUUCGUUGCAAUUGAUUAUGUCUGCUUUUUUAUAAGGUAGAAGGGUGGAAAGGGAUGACCCGUGUUAGCAACCUUUUUUGAGCAUUCAUUGAGAAAUGUUCGAUUUGAAUUAUAACCACCCCAUAUUAUCUUGCAGACGCUCAUCAAGAUAUUGGUAGUUUGGAAGUCUUUCUUUGUUAUCAUGAAGUAUAUUGCUGUUAAACAACACAGCACAAACUAUUCAGAUGAUUAGUCGCAAUGUAAAUUUAACUUGUGAUCUUGUGCUCUUAUGAUUGAUUUAUGUCUGUCGCUACAUAAUAAUUCUAACUUCUAACUCAUAUUUUGUCCUACAAACUCUAUGAGAGCUAAACGAAGUGCUACGACUACUUGAGCACGAUCCACGUAGCGAAGAAUCUAGGGGUCGUCAAUCGACACCGUCCGAUGGGGCAACCAAGGCAUCUGGUUAUAAUGGCCUAACUCAAGCUAAGCAUGCCCACACCAGAUCUGGACCUCCAAAAUCCAGCGUAGCGUGGUGUGAAACUGGAUGGGGUGCGAGCUAGACAAGUUGCGCAGCAAAGACAAAAGGCGAAGCAGAAAAAAGCAAGGUCCGACGGUGUUGUUCACUGAGGAUGCUCGUGCGUGAGGAUAGAGGAGAAAAUAUUAGGUAGAGCUCUGAGCUCAGCAUGUUAAAAUCUCAGUCCAUUCAUCAGGCAACAUGUGUCGCUCGGGCCCACCGUGUUUAGACCUGUUUUCCCCUUCACCGUCUCGUCUCUCUCUUACCUCUCUUCCUUCUCUUAUUUUCUCCCUUUUUGUCUUCUUCUUCCCUUUCACUCCGAUGGGGAUGACAACAGACAUUUGUCCCCUUCCAUGACCACCACCUCACCGCUGUCUUAGUCCACCACCUUGCUGCCGUUUUAGUCCUCCGCCGUUGAGCUCAAGUUCAGCUGGCGAACUUGGGCCUCAUAUUUCGGAUCAAAGGUCGAGCAUGCCCUAGAUUUGUAUCUGGAGCUGAACUCGAUCUCAAAUCUGAGUAGGUUGACUAAAGUCGGCUUAGGCAAGAACGAGGCCCGUUGAUGCAGCGUAGGGUCUCAACCUUCUGGCCAACGUGGUAUGAGUUGGACAGGAGGUGGAAGUGCUGGAGAUCAGAGGAGGAGGGAGCGAAAGAUGGAGGCAGAGAUGGAGGCGUGGGAGAAGGAGCAUUCAUCAAGAAAAUUUUCAAUAUUUGGACUACUCAACGCAAAUAAAUUGUUCGAUAAAAAAAGAAGAAGAAGUUCGUUUUGGAUGAAGUUGUUUUGGUUUGAUUAGUUUAUCCAGCCAGGGAUGCAAGAUUCUCCUACUUCCAAGGUGAUGAUGGCUGGGGUAGUAAAGGAUUAUUUUGAGUCAAAUACAAGAAACUUGUCGCAUUCACAUUGAAUCUCGAUCUAUUCUGUGAAGAUGAACAAGAUUACAGAUGAAUGCAAAAGAAGAAGACGAUUCCUUAAUUCUCUUAUGUAUAAUGGUGUAUUCACCUCAGCUGUGCAUGCCGAGUGUACCAGCUGGCAGAUGAUGAUGCUCUCUGCUCUCCUCUGCCGCAGGUUCGAUCUGAGACUCAGAGCCCCGAUGCUUUUUCCUUUGCCCAAUAUCGAUCGAAAGAACAAAACCCAUGCACCUUUUACGUGCCAAACCAAAUCUCAACUUCGAACAUGAUGUCGCCAUUUUAUCAGCUGAGGACUUAAAAAACACAGUAGAGAAAGCCAAACAGCCCACGCAUGCAUGGAGCUGCGCUGAUGAGGGUUGACCACCUUACGCGCUUCUUCGAAAGUCCAGUCCGCCGCAAAUAAUUCACUCGGGCUACUUGCUACCAACCCUAGAUGCCCAUCUUAAUGAGGGGUCAGCGAGACGAACUUUGCUUGCUUAGGAUAAGCCUAUAUAUAGCCCGCCCUCUGCCCUCCCUCUUCAUUGUAUCAAUCAUCCGACCAAAGUCAUUAGGACUGCAUCAUUGGUAUUCAAUUCUAACUCCGAAAAAGUCUCGACCAUGGCCAUCCACAAGCUUUUAAUUGCUUCCCUCUUAAUCUCAGUUCUUCUUCUUCAACUCGCCGAAGCUGACCAGAUGGUACCAACUCGUUUUGCUUUCGAUUAUUCGUAUAUUCUGCUCAUUUGAUUUUCUUCUUCUUUAUCACACUACCUCAUGUCCAUUCUAUUUAACCAAAACGACCCUUUUGUGUCCUUGACUGAUGCAGGGAGUUGGAAAUGCAGGAGACAACUCGAAGCUUCCGAAAAUGGGUACAAAACUAUUUAUAGGGAGUCAUUUCUCUUUUUCGCUAGUAAAUUUUUCAAAAAUAAUGGUAUAAUGACAUGAGGUCUUCAUCUUCGUUGUGCAGACUGCGGCGGAGCGUGUGUCGCCAGGUGUCAGCUGUCAUCGAGGCCUCGCCUUUGCCAGAGGGCUUGCGGGACAUGCUGUGCCCGUUGCAACUGCGUCCCUCCGGGCACCUCCGGCAACCUCGACGUCUGUCCGUGCUAUGCCAACAUGACCACCCGUGACAACAAGCACAAGUGCCCAUGAGAUGCUCGAUGGGCUUCGUUUUCUUUCCAAUGGUCGGACAUCGAUCGCUCAAGCUUGUUGCUGCUAAUUUAAGGGACGCUGUUGUCGUACUAAUAUCAUGGAGCUAGUCAAGAAGUGGUUUGCAAAUGCAAAUUCACAAUGUGUUUAGCAAUUUAUCUGUCGUAUCUAUCAUUAAUAAAGUUUCCGUUUAUCUUUCUUUCUACUGCACUUGUUAUUUUUUCAUCGGUCCAAUGUGAGUCCCAUCUAAAUUAAUGGUUCAUAUUCAUUUUUAAUAUAUUCUAGAUUCAAUAAAUAAAUUAUCCUAAUCGAUAAUUGAUGGUUCGAUCUGUAAAAAUUAAAGUUUGAGGCAUGGAUUUUACUUGAAUUGAUCAAGUUUGACCUGUCCUGCAGGCAAUUGCUGAAAUAUGAAAACAAUUUUUCCACUUGGUCUAUUGCAAAUGCUUCCCAAAACUCAAGUGGCCAGGUGAGGAACUAAACCCAGUCACAUAUAAUGUCUUAACCAUGUAUGUAAGCCCGAAUUCACUAAAAGACAGAAAUAGUUAAGGUUGUUUGAUUUGACAAGUUUUAAUCAUUAAGGAUCAUAUCAUUUGUAUAAAUUAAUGGUUUAUUGAGGCAUGCAUCAAAAGAAGCACUUACUGGAUAAAGUAUCCACCAUUGUCAUUUAUGUCAUGUAUCACGUAUUAUAAACAUUCUUAUUUGCUUCCCAAAUGAUACAAUUUUGCUUACAGUAAUUAAUUUGAACAGGUAAAAAUUGUCCUACGCCGAGAAGUUUAAAAUGAUAUUCCUGCCAUGGUAAUAGAUUAUAGAUGGAUUAUGAGCUUGGAAACUUGGGGGACAAAGGAAACAACAUUAGCAAGGAAGCAUUAGUUAACAUCCGGUCCAAUCCUCCUCCUCAAGCAGUCCAAACUACCCAUCCCUUUGCUCAAAUGAUUCUGUGAUAUUGCACCUAUCUCACCACUGACUUCAUUUUACAGAUUGGACCUUAAUUAUGAACAACGUAAGAAAAGGGGAUGCCAGUUACCAACCCACGAUUCGAUGAAUAGUGAGCAUCAGGAUUGAUUCUUCUGUCUCUUCGAGUACAAAUAUGUCUAUCUUCUGCUUAAAUGUUAAGCAUAAGGAAUCUCCAUACGCAGCAUCCACCUACUCAUUACUUUUCACUUUCCACUUUCCACGUAUUGGGUAAAAUUUACGAAGUAACCUAACUCUCUCCCUCUUUUCUUCUGUGUUAAAUCUAUAAAUAGAACUCGUUUCUCGAAUUCCAACCACGCCACAUUCCACUCGAAGCUAAUGGCGUUGUCGAGGCUCUGUACAACGUUGCUGCUCUUCUCUCUUCUUUUGAUCCACCAAGCUGAAUCUGAUUAUAUGGUAAAACAUACUGUAAAUCAUCUUCUUCUUUUUUUGGCUUUGAUUGCUACUUUUCAACCAUCUUUGAAGAUCUGUUCUCAUUGAAUGUACUCUUUUCGAGCUUCUGUUAAUGCCCUAAUCGAAUUCUCUUUGUGUUAGGUGAUUCAGUUGAACACAGCUGAGGAACCAGCUCCUCUGCCUCCGAAUAUAGGUAUGAACGCAAUCACAUUUUAAAUCGGCCUUGAAACUAGAAUUCCGUAGUACCUGUUCAUUUUAAGCUUAGUUUCUCACGCACAUUUCAAGAUUGCGAUGGAGCUUGCGAUGCUCGGUGCCGGCUGUCGUCGCGGCCACACCUGUGCAAGAGGGCAUGCGGGACUUGCUGCACUCGCUGCGACUGCGUGCCGCCUGGAACUUCCGGCAACUACGACGCCUGCCCUUGCUAUGCCAACAUGACUACCCAUGGAGGCAGGCACAAAUGCCCCUAGAAGGGUUUCAUUUUCUACUUAGCUUCACUUGCGAAAAAUGUUCGUAUUUUGUUAACACAUUGCCGCGUUUGUGGAACUUGCCUAAUGUAUCUUAGUAAUAAGGACUUAUGUAACGUCCAAUCCAUAAAUAAACUUUCAGAGUAAUGAUUAUUAACAUUGAUGGAUUAUGGGUCUGCCUCUGUAAUUUUAUAAUUUUAGCCUUUC